GACUGUGCAAAGGUAGCAUAAUCAGUUGGCUUAUAAUUAAGGUCUUGUAUGAAGGAAUUUACGGGGAACUACUGUCUUUAUGUUAAUAAGGCGAAUUUGGUAAGCAAGUGCAAAUACUUGUAAUUGUUAAAUAGACGAGAAGACCCUAGAAACUUUUAAUUAUCUUUUGCUGGGGCGGCAAAGUUGCAGUUAACCAACUUUAUUUAACACGUAGUUUGGACGGUAGAAUAAGUUACUCUAGGGAUAACAGCAUAAUUAAA
RNAcentral lists this ribosomal RNA (260 nucleotides) under Josephinella argentellei. RNAcentral's name for it is "Chilostoma argentellei partial 16S ribosomal RNA". It matches the Rfam family "Archaeal large subunit ribosomal RNA", at positions 2021 to 2559 of the family's 2987-position model. Lineage: Eukaryota; Metazoa; Mollusca; Gastropoda; Stylommatophora; Helicidae. The record is from RNAcentral.